Molecule: non-coding RNA, 3123 nt
Organism: Phalacrocorax carbo (great cormorant)
Lineage: Eukaryota; Metazoa; Chordata; Aves; Suliformes; Phalacrocoracidae
Source: RefSeq, a predicted model, not a curated record
GGCGGGGGCGGGGAGGCCCCUCCCCUCUCCUCCCCGCCCUGCGGGCGCGGGCCCGCUCUGCCCCCUCAGGUGCCGGCGGGCUGCCGGAGGCUGAGCUGCGGAUCGCUCCCUCCUGGGUCGCCUCACGGGGGCCCUUCCUGCCCUUCGUCACCCUCCCGGUGAGCGAGGAGGAGAGGCACUGCUCCUCAGGCUGCACACGGUUGGCUGCGGGGCAGCUGCCCCUCUCGCGGGUGCGUGUCCCGAGGGGCUUGAGCUGUUUGCCUGGCUCUUCGCUGCUCCGAGAGACCCAUCUGUGCUUACCCUGGGGAGGCCGUCUGCCUAGCACUGAUCCUGGUCUGGAGCUAGAGGGGAAGGGGUGACUUUGGCCUGGAAGUCGGGAGGCUGUCAGAGGAGCCCCUCUGAGGGUCAGUCUCUGCCCCAGUUUUCCUGUCCUGACAGGGUCCUGUGCCAGCGCUGCCACCCAGGCUUGCUGCUGUUGUGCUACGGAGGCACUUUUACUGGCAGAGGCUCUUGGGAGGGUGCUGGUGAGCUCCUGUGGUUGGGCCUGCUCGUGUCCCUCUUUGCUGACAGGGCAGGAGGAAGGCCCUGGUUCAUCACCACGGAACAGCAGUCUUGCCUCCACCAGCCCGCGGAAGGCAUACAGCCUGUUGUGUCAUCUCUGAUCAGGUACAGAAUGCAGAUCUUGGAUGAGUCUGACAAUGAGGAUCCCCUCAGUAUAUCAUUUUGCAAGCUGAUUUCCUGAGAAGACUUUGAGGAACAGUCUUUUACACUCAGCAAUACCUGCAUGAACUGUACUCAGACAUGGAGCAGAACCCAUGGAUCCGCAAGAGGGUGUUGAAAAAGCAGAAAGAGAAGGAGAAGGAAGAAGCCGGCUUAAUACCUUAUUUGAAUGUACUUGCAAUACCGUCCUAGUGAAGGUCACCGGAUCUUUGAGGGUAUUAGGUUAAUAAUGAGAUAGGAUAGUGAGUUACAUUUUGUUCUUUCUCUAAAAAGAAAAAACCACAGAAGAGUGUGUGUCUAAGCCGUAUACUCCAUCUUAAGGCAGAUUGAGCCCUAGUUUUGUAUCAAGAGCUGUUGCUUAUUUUUCCUCAAGUGUUUGUGUACAUGAGUUUUCUGGAAACGUUGUGCUCUUGGGGUCCUUCACAGGAAUCCUGAGGCUCCCAGAUGCACUCCCAUCAUAGAGCUAAGAUGAAUCAUUCCUAAGGCUGGAAGUACAAUAUGAGCCCUCCUGUCCUCACACUUUGGCUUUGAUUUGUCUUCACAUCAGGCUUUGAUUUUGAAAUUAUUGUUUCUAAAGCAGAAAGGUCCUAAGUACAUGUAAAUGUUACUGAAAUCCCUUUGUAGUGUGAUAAAUAACAAAUCCCACUGUAAAGAACAACGUAAAAUACCAUCACUAUCUAGAAGAAACACUGUACUUUUGAGCUAUAUCUUCACAAGCAGGGAAGAGAGCUGGGGUGCAACUGGAAGCAUUUCAGAAAUUGUUGGUAUAAAUUUUCCCUGUACUAGGAACUCUGUAGGUUUGAGGUGAGUAUUAUAUCUACUCCUGGCAUCCUGCAUUUGGGGCAUGCUAGCAUUCCCUGGAUAACCUCAAUGGUUAGGUGAAGGCCACUGAUUCAUUCUAUAGCUGUCUUACUCCAUACAGGUUUUUAUAAGCCUGUGCUUAUGUUUGGUCCCUUGAUCACGCAUCUCAUUCCCAUGCCACUUUGGCGGUAUGAAAGACCUAACAGUAGAUUUAAACAGCCCCCUGAGUGAUCCCAGUAUAUAGGGAAUCUUCCUGCAUAACAUGAAGCUGCAGGCCCCAGGCAAGAGUGGAGGCAGGGGGUGUUGAACCAUUUGUGCUGUUGCAAAGCUGCUCUUUAGGGCUUUGAGGAACGCUGUGGAAAGCAGAGUCUAAGAGCAGACUAGUACUGCUUAGACAGACUUACUGCCAGCUUAUGGGGAGUGCAGAGUGUAUGUGAAGGUCUUCUGCCAUGCUGGUCUGUAUUUCUGUUCCAAGCACAGUACCUGAAAUACAAGGUAUUGCUGUGUGCAACAAGCAUGGGAGCUCUGAAGCCCUGUGCAGCACCACAGCUGUGGCAGCUGGAGGGUGAGAAGCUGGAGGGAUGGUGGCUCUGUGGGCUUACGCUGCAGAAGUGAAGUCUCAGUGUCUUAUCUUCCUUUUCUCUAUUGUUGUUUUCUAGGCCAAGAUUUUUCAGGCUCUGCAGGGAGAGCUGAAUUACUCUAACUAUAUGGGCAUUGCAGAGAUGAAGGAAAAAGUACUCCAGCUGAGACGAGACAUGCAGAGAGCAAACUAUGCUCGUGAGCUGCGAAGACUGGGAAAGGGCAACAUCCAAGGCUGUCGCAGGGGAAGAUGCACACGCCAGAAUGUAGAUUUAGUCACCUUCACUGCAGGGUUCCUGAACCUCCCAAAUUCACCAUGCCCAGGGUCUUCGGUCCUUUUCCAGAAGCUGUGAAUAACCAGGUGGCCAGAACUAUAACUUCAAGACCUGAUCUAAAAUACUGGUGGACUGGUCCAACAACAGUGAGCCAGAAAAGACUUCUUGGCAGUGCUCCCACACCUUCCCAAAAUGCCAGGUCUACUGGCACUAAACCUGAAAUCUCUCUUUUUAACACACCUAUGUCAUGCAAGUUUCAGGAUGGUGCAGAAGAUGACACAGACAGUGAGAAACCCAGCCUCAGUUCCUCUGCUAUGAAGGCGUAAGUGUGUCUUCCUACAUGGACAAACCUAUGCAAAUAAGCACUCUGUGCAAGCUCCCUGGCUGUGUGUGGAGAUCCUGCUAUGCCUUAAUGAUUUCUGCAACAGCUUUGUUUAGCAGGACAGCUGUACUAUGCCAAAGGUGGAGUAACGUCUGUGAGCUUUCUUCACUACCGAACAGCAGAUACCUAACUGGUUGGAAAGUGGGAUCUCCAUUAAAUGAGCACAGCAUGCAUGGCAGAGGUCCUAGACUUACCUCGUUUGGCUUCUAAGUGAAGCCAUCUCUCCUCUGACCCAUAAUAGCCAGACCUUGAAACAUGUUAAGUGUCUUAAUUCCCUCUACCUUCUGCAGAAAUUGGGUGCCUAAGUAUCCCUUAGAUCCUGUGCUUUACUUGCUCCUCCUAGCAUCGAUUUGAAUAAACGACAAA